Long non-coding RNA from Helianthus annuus (common sunflower), 804 nucleotides. RefSeq lists it as uncharacterized. The record is from RefSeq and is a predicted model, not a curated record. Lineage: Eukaryota; Viridiplantae; Streptophyta; Magnoliopsida; Asterales; Asteraceae. The transcript is spliced from 2 exons.
CAUCAUCUCUCACCUCUCUUUAAAGUCUCACAGAGACUUUUACAUUACACACAUCCCAAAUUUUGAAUCCCCUAAUCUCUCUCUCUCAAAAUUGUUCCACCAUAUCCCCUCAUCUCUCUCCCUCUCUCUCAUACCCAAAUCAAGGAACAAAAAAGAUGUUUGAUUGGUGGUGGUAAGUCGAAUGCGGCGGAAGACGGUGGUGGGAGGUGGUUGGCCGGCGACGAAGGUGGGACGAAGACGGAAAUGAUGUUUAGAGAUUAGAAUGCGGCGGAGGUGGUGGUGGGAGGUGGUUGGUCGAUGACGGUGGUGGGAGGUGGUUGGUCAACGACGGCGGUGGCGGAAGGCCCCUUGUUCAUCUGUUAACACCAGUUUAGGGAAAAUUUGUUUAAUCAUUUUCCAAAUCAGGACCGUGUGAGUGGGAAUAGGAGUCAAAAUAGGAAGAUAUUGAUUGGUUGAUUUUUCAAAAUAAAGAAUCAAAAUGAGAAAGGAGUUGUGGCUUAUUUUUGCAAACUUCACAAAAUGCAAGUACAGCGAAGGAUGUUUUUACAGAAAGAAUGAAGUCAUAUCUCCAGAUUUAGGAACACAAAACAAAGGCUUCGGGUCAGGAAUCGUCUCAACAAAUUCAUUCAAAAACUUCAUAUCCAAACGUAUCACAUUCAGAAGAAACGGGUCAUCAAAAGAAGGUCUCAAGUUUACGCCAACUAAUACUUUAGUGACUUGUUACAUUUGGUAUUUUUAUGAAAAUUUUAUAUAUAUUGUUUUUUUUUGUAUUGUUGAAAUGUUAUUGUUUGCGUUUUGAAAAUA